RNAcentral lists this ribosomal RNA (238 nucleotides) under uncultured bacterium. RNAcentral's name for it is "partial 16S ribosomal RNA". It matches the Rfam family "Bacterial small subunit ribosomal RNA", at positions 637 to 873 of the family's 1533-position model. The record is from RNAcentral.
CUGGCUAGAGUCCGGAAGAGGAGAGUGGAAUUCCUGGUGUAGCGGUGAAAUGCGCAGAUAUCAGGAAGAACACCCGUGGCUAAGGCGGCUCUCUAGUNCGGUACUGACGCUGAGACGCGAAAGCGUGGGGAGCGAACAGGAUUAGAUACCCUGGUAGUCCACGCCGUAAACGAUGGGUGCUAGGUGUGGGGGGUGUCGACUCCCUCCGUGCCGAAGCUAACGCAUUAAGCACCCCGCC